Molecule: long non-coding RNA, 1353 nt
Organism: Artibeus jamaicensis (Jamaican fruit-eating bat)
Lineage: Eukaryota; Metazoa; Chordata; Mammalia; Chiroptera; Phyllostomidae
Exons: 3
Source: RefSeq, a predicted model, not a curated record
GGUUGCUGGUGCUGGUGCUGUCCCCUUCCUGCCCAGGCCCGGGCCACCUGCACUGUGUGUGGCCUGGAGCCGAGCUGGACAGUGAGCACCAGCCCGACUUCCCUGGGUUCUCCAAGUGUGGCCCCCAGACCAGCAACAGCAUCCUCCCACCUCCAGGGAUGGUGGACUCCCCCACCCAGUGCUGGAGCGUGACCAAGGCCAAGGCUGAGACCUUUCUCAACCAUGGUGCUGGCCCGCAGCCAGUUUGGGCAGGGGACCUGGGACACAGGCUUCUCUCAGCUGGGUCCCCAGGCCUCGCUCUCUUCUCUUGCGUCUGUCCCAGGUCUGCCUCUUCCUCUCCAUCCCCGAGGCCUGGCUCUGCUGCUCAGCAGGAAUCCCCACGCCUCCCCAGACAAGGCCCCUGCAGUUUGGGGAAGACGGUGCUGCCCGAGCCAGCGUCCACCCGUGGGGCCUGGAAGUGCACUCAUAGGCCCUGUCCCAGGUGGCCCACCUCUCAGCCCCAGCAUCUCUGUCCUCUGAUCCCAGACCUCACAACCGAAAACCACCAGAGCAGCUUGCUCCGACCUGUGACAUCUUGGAUUGUGUAAUGGCACAAGGGGCCCAGGUGAACCACCCAUCUUAGGUAAAGCUAGAAAAAAUCUGUCAUAAUUUAAAAAAUUGAAAUAAGCUGUGUUGACAAUUAAUGCUAGAAGGUAAGAUGGUGCGGCCACUGUGGAAAACAGUCUGGCAGCUCCUCAGAUGGUGAAAUGUCGGGUUGCUAUGUGAACAAGCAGUUCCGCUCCUUGGUACACACACGUUCAAAGGGGUUUGAAAGUGCCCUGUACCCCAGGGUUCACAGAGUGUUAUUCACAAUAGCCACAGCUGGCAACAGCCUUCCACAGAUGAGUGGGUCCUUCCACAGAUGAGUGGGUAAACCAAAUACGGAACACAUGAAGCAAACACACACCGUGGAAUAUUAUGCAGUUCUUAAAAAGGAACAAAUUCUGGUGCUACCACAUGGAUGAAUCUUGAAGACAUCAUGCUAAGGGAAGGAAACCAGACACAAAAUGACAAACCCUGUGUGAUUCCACUUCUCUGAGGUGCCCAGGAUGGCCAAAUUUAUACAGACAGAGAAAGGAGAGUGGAGGGUCCCAGGAGCCGGGAGAGGGAAAUGGAGGGGUCAGUGGUUCACGGGGACAGAGUUUCAGUUCUGCAAGAUGAAGAAGUUUGGAGAUGGAGAGUGGCAAUGAUUGUACAACUGUGUGAAUGUGCUUAAUGCCACUGAACUCUGCACUUAAAAAUGGUUAAUUUAAAAAAAUGGUUAAUUUCGCUGUGUGUAUGUUACCACAAUAAAAAGGGUUUGUUGUUGAGAGA